RNAcentral lists this unclassified non-coding RNA (316 nucleotides) under plant metagenome. RNAcentral's name for it is "partial contains 5.8S ribosomal RNA, internal transcribed spacer 2, and large subunit ribosomal RNA". The stretch from base 1 to 105 matches the Rfam family "5.8S ribosomal RNA", at positions 50 to 154 of the family's 154-position model. The record is from RNAcentral.
GAAAUGCGAUAACUAGUGUGAAUUGCAGAAUUCCGUGAAUCAUCGAGUCUUUGAACGCACAUUGCGCCCCCUGGUAUUCCGGGGGGCAUGCCUGUCCGAGCGUCAUUGCUGCCUAUCAAGCACGGCUUGUGUGUUGGGUCGUCGUCCCCUCUCCGGGGGGGACGGGCCCCAAAGGCAGCGGCGGCACCGCGUCCGAUCCUCGAGCGUAUGGGGCUUUGUCACCCGCUCUGUAGGCCCGGCCGGCGCUUGCCGAACGCAAAUCAAUCUUUUUCCAGGUUGACCUCGGAUCAGGUAGGGAUACCCGCUGAACUUAAGC